This 1468-nucleotide long non-coding RNA is filed under the name Crocodylus porosus (Australian saltwater crocodile). RNAcentral describes it as "lncRNA (ENSCPRG00005002847.1)". The record is from RNAcentral. Lineage: Eukaryota; Metazoa; Chordata; Crocodylia; Crocodylidae.
CCCCGCCACGGGUGGGCCGGGUCCCGGGAGCAUCCCUGCAGGCUCGGCGCGAAGCCUCAGCACAGGACGUGGGGUCCGAGCCCGGCCCCUGGACUGCGCGGGCCUGAGCCUGCCCGGGGAAGCGCUGGGUUUCGGCAAAGCCGGGGCGCGGGGCUCCGGGCCCGCGUGAGGAGCCGAGCAGCGCUGCCCGAGGGGCGUUGCUGGAGCGGCCGCUUGCCGGCGACUCGGGACACGGGUCUGGCCACGCCAGGCUGCUGGGUGCAGGGCAGGGAGAAGGCUUGUGGAGCGGGAAGAGAGCCGGCUUCUGUUUACACCCAGGAUAAAUCGGACGCAACUCCAUUCAAGCCAGUUGGUGAAAUCGCGCUCCUACAAAAGACAGUGGGUGAUCAGGACCAGGAUUUUUGCCAAUAUCAUUGUAUUGCUGUUAAUGAGCUCAGAAUCAGGUCACUAGUCUCAGAACCGUUUUGAUGGAAGAGUGGCCAUUCAAACAAAGGAUUCUCCUUAUCUGUUUGCACUAUUGUAGUACCUCUGGGAGCCCUAAUCAUGAAUCAGGACUGCAUUUUGCUAGGCACUGCAUAAAAAUGCCAGUAGCCCUGCAGCUGUAAGGAAGGAGGAUUAGAUGCUGAGGUUAGCACUGACCUAUUCUGCUACCAGCCUCCUUAACUCCCGCAGUGAAAUGAAUAUCAGUCAACUGCCUAGAAAAUUCUGAUCGAUGCAAAUAACAAGCACAGUAAUUGGCAAAGGCCAACAAAGGUCUGCACAGAUUAGUACAUUUCAUCUUCAUCUGAUGUGGUCCAGAUUAAUUUUCUUAGCUCCCAAAGUAUUAGUUGACUUUGCAAUAAUAAUCAUUUAUUUAUUGCUGCAAUAUUUCCCAGAGCCUUGACUGGACCAGGAUCGCUUACAACUGGGGGUUGCAAACACAUUGUUUCAGAGUUUAUGGUCUAAAGCUUGAUUCUGCAAUUUGCUGCAUGCAGGUAGAUUGCUAAACCACACUUAAGGCAACAAGUGAAAAGACCAAGGGACUUAAUGCAAGACAAGACAGACAGGUUGGUAAAACAGACAAGGUGGGAGUAAGAAAUACAGGAUGUUCCAUCACGGAUUAGUUGCCGGUAUAAUACAUAGCUAAUCUUCAAUUGCAAUAAUUGCAGCUAGCUACUUGCUUAGCUUAGCCAUAGUAUUGCAAACUGGGUAAGGGAACCAUUUAGCUUCAUUGUACCUUCAACAAGUGCUUUUGUAUUAGAGCUGAUUGAAAUGUUCCAAAUGAAAAUUGUUUAAUUGAAAAAUGACAUUUUCUCCAGCAAUGAAAAUGUUCAUCGCAAAACUUUCAUCUUUUAAAAUAUAUUUUCUUUCCUAUUCCUCAUGAUGAAACCUGAAAAUGUUUUCAGUGGCUUAAUUUCCAUGUUCUAGGUUUUCCUUCCUUCAUUUUCAGUAAUGAUAUAAUGGGGGAAAGUGGGAAAACAAGCCAAAA